This 363-nucleotide ribosomal RNA is filed under the name Petasospora fabianii. Its description in RNAcentral is "eukaryotic LSU rRNA". It matches the Rfam family "Eukaryotic large subunit ribosomal RNA", at positions 76 to 440 of the family's 3401-position model. The record is from RNAcentral. Lineage: Eukaryota; Fungi; Ascomycota; Saccharomycetes; Phaffomycetales; Wickerhamomycetaceae.
UGCCUCAGUACGGCGAGUGAGCGGCAAAGCUCAAUUUGAAUCUAGUACCUUCGGUGCUACGAGUUGUAAUUUGAAGGUAGUUUUCUGGUGCUGGCCCUUGUCUAUGUUCCUUGGAACAGGACGUCAUAGAGGGUGAGAAUCCCGUCUGAUGGGGUGUCCAGUGCUUUGUAGAUUUCUACCGAAGAGUCGAGUUGUUUGGGAAUGCAGCUCUAAGUGGGUGGUAAAUUCCAUCUAAAGCUAAAUACUGGCGAGAGACCGAUAGCGAACAAGUACAGUGAUGGAAAGAUGAAAAGAACUUUGAAAAAGAGAGUGAAAAAGUACGUGAAAUUGUUGAAAGGGAAGGGUAUUGGAUCAGACUUGGUG